RNAcentral lists this ribosomal RNA (1551 nucleotides) under Salmonella enterica subsp. enterica serovar Mikawasima. RNAcentral describes it as "bacterial SSU rRNA". It matches the Rfam family "Bacterial small subunit ribosomal RNA". Lineage: Bacteria; Pseudomonadati; Pseudomonadota; Gammaproteobacteria; Enterobacterales; Enterobacteriaceae. The record is from RNAcentral.
AAAUUGAAGAGUUUGAUCAUGGCUCAGAUUGAACGCUGGCGGCAGGCCUAACACAUGCAAGUCGAACGGUAGCACAGAGAGCUUGCUCUCGGGUGACGAGUGGCGGACGGGUGAGUAAUGUCUGGGAAACUGCCUGAUGGAGGGGGAUAACUACUGGAAACGGUGGCUAAUACCGCAUAACGUCGCAAGACCAAAGAGGGGGACCUUCGGGCCUCUUGCCAUCAGAUGUGCCCAGAUGGGAUUAGCUUGUUGGUGAGGUAACGGCUCACCAAGGCGACGAUCCCUAGCUGGUCUGAGAGGAUGACCAGCCACACUGGAACUGAGACACGGUCCAGACUCCUACGGGAGGCAGCAGUGGGGAAUAUUGCACAAUGGGCGCAAGCCUGAUGCAGCCAUGCCGCGUGUAUGAAGAAGGCCUUCGGGUUGUAAAGUACUUUCAGCGGGGAGGAAGGUGUUGUGGUUAAUAACCACAGCAAUUGACGUUACCCGCAGAAGAAGCACCGGCUAACUCCGUGCCAGCAGCCGCGGUAAUACGGAGGGUGCAAGCGUUAAUCGGAAUUACUGGGCGUAAAGCGCACGCAGGCGGUCUGUCAAGUCGGAUGUGAAAUCCCCGGGCUCAACCUGGGAACUGCAUUCGAAACUGGCAGGCUUGAGUCUUGUAGAGGGGGGUAGAAUUCCAGGUGUAGCGGUGAAAUGCGUAGAGAUCUGGAGGAAUACCGGUGGCGAAGGCGGCCCCCUGGACAAAGACUGACGCUCAGGUGCGAAAGCGUGGGGAGCAAACAGGAUUAGAUACCCGUGGUAGUCCACGCCGUAAACGAUGUCUACUUGGAGGUUGUGCCCUUGAGGCGUGGCUUCCGGAGCUAACGCGUUAAGUAGACCGCCUGGGGAGUACGGCCGCAAGGUUAAAACUCAAAUGAAUUGACGGGGGCCCGCACAAGCGGUGGAGCAUGUGGUUUAAUUCGAUGCAACGCGAAGAACCUUACCUGGUCUUGACAUCCACAGAAGAAUCCAGAGAUGGAUUUGUGCCUUCGGGAACUGUGAGACAGGUGCUGCAUGGCUGUCGUCAGCUCGUGUUGUGAAAUGUUGGGUUAAGUCCCGCAACGAGCGCAACCCUUAUCCUUUGUUGCCAGCGGUUAGGCCGGGAACUCAAAGGAGACUGCCAGUGAUAAACUGGAGGAAGGUGGGGAUGACGUCAAGUCAUCAUGGCCCUUACGACCAGGGCUACACACGUGCUACAAUGGCGCAUACAAAGAGAAGCGACCUCGCGAGAGCAAGCGGACCUCAUAAAGUGCGUCGUAGUCCGGAUUGGAGUCUGCAACUCGACUCCAUGAAGUCGGAAUCGCUAGUAAUCGUGGAUCAGAAUGCCACGGUGAAUACGUUCCCGGGCCUUGUACACACCGCCCGUCACACCAUGGGAGUGGGUUGCAAAAGAAGUAGGUAGCUUAACCUUCGGGAGGGCGCUUACCACUUUGUGAUUCAUGACUGGGGUGAAGUCGUAACAAGGUAACCGUAGGGGAACCUGCGGUUGGAUCACCUCCUUACCUUAAAGAA